AUACGUAGGGGGCGAGCGUUGUCCGGAAUGAUUGGGCGUAAAGGGCGCGUAGGCGGCUUUGCAAGUCAGUAGUGGAAGUCCAUUUUUCAAGGAUGGAAGUGCUACAGAAACUGCGGAGCUUGAGUGCAGGAGAGGUUAUCGGAAUUCCCGGUGUCGCGGUGAAAUGCGUAGAGAUCGGGAGGAACACCAGUGGCGAAGGCGGGUAACUGGACUGCAACUGACGCUGAGGCGCGAAAGUGUGGGGAGCAAACAGGAUUAGAUACCCUGGUAGUCCACACUGUAAACGAUGAAUGCUAGGUGUAGGAGGUAUCGACCCCUUCUGUGCCGCAGUAAACACAGUAAGCAUUCCGCCUGGGGAGUACGGUCGCAAGAUUAAAACUCAAAGGAAUUGACGGGG
This 397-nucleotide ribosomal RNA is filed under the name uncultured bacterium. Its description in RNAcentral is "partial 16S ribosomal RNA". It matches the Rfam family "Bacterial small subunit ribosomal RNA", at positions 523 to 918 of the family's 1533-position model. The record is from RNAcentral.